This 493-nucleotide ribosomal RNA is filed under the name uncultured bacterium. Its description in RNAcentral is "partial 16S ribosomal RNA". It matches the Rfam family "Bacterial small subunit ribosomal RNA", at positions 30 to 523 of the family's 1533-position model. The record is from RNAcentral.
AUUGAACGCUGGCGGCAUGCUUUACACAUGCAAGUCGAACGGUAACAGGUUAAGCUGACGAGUGGCGAACGGGUGAGUAAUGCAUCGGAACGUGCCCGAUCGUGGGGGAUAACGCAGCGAAAGCUGCGCUAAUACCGCAUACGAUCUGAGGAUGAAAGCGGGGGACCGUAAGGCCUCGCGCGAUCGGAGCGGCCGAUGUCAGAUUAGGUAGUUGGUGGGGUAAAGGCCCACCAAGCCGACGAUCUGUAGCUGGUCUGAGAGGACAACCAGCCACACUGGGACUGAGACACGGCCCAGACUCCUACGGGUGGCAGCAGUGGGGAAUUUUGGACAAUGGGCGAAAGCCUGAUCCAGCAAUGCCGCGUGCAGGAAGAAGGCCUUCGGGUUGUAAACUGCUUUUGUACGGAGCGAAAAGGUCCUUUCUAAUACAAGGGGCUCAUGACGGUACCGUAAGAAUAAGCACCGGCUAACUACGUGCCAGCCGCCGCGGUAA